UACAGAGGUCCCGAGCGUUGUUCGGAUUCACUGGGCGUAAAGGGUGCGUAGGUGGCGGGGUAAGUCUGAUGUGAAAGCUUCGAGCUCAACUCGAAAAUGGCAUUGGAUACUAUUCUGCUAGAGGGUUGGAGGGGGGACUGGAAUUCUCGGUGUAGCAGUGAAAUGCGUAGAUAUCGAGAGGAACACCGGUGGCGAAGGCGAGUCCCUGGACAACACCUGACACUGAGGCACGAAAGCUAGGGGAGCAAACAGG
RNAcentral lists this ribosomal RNA (253 nucleotides) under uncultured prokaryote. RNAcentral describes it as "partial 16S ribosomal RNA". It matches the Rfam family "Bacterial small subunit ribosomal RNA", at positions 524 to 776 of the family's 1533-position model. The record is from RNAcentral.